CAGCAGCCGCGGUAAUACGUAGGUGGCGAGCGUUGUCCGGAUUUACUGGGUGUAAAGGGCGUGUAGGCGGGGGAGCAAGUCAGAUGUGAAAACCCAAGGCUUAACCAUGGGACUGCAUUUGAAACUGUUUUUCUUGAGUGACGGAGAGGCAAGCGGAAUUCCUAGUGUAGCGGUAAAAUGCGUGGAUAUUAGGAGGAACACCGGUGGCGAAGGCGGCUUGCUGGACGUUAACUGACGCUGAGACGCGAAAGCGUGGGGAGCAAACAGGAUUAGAUACCCUGGUAGUCCGCACCGUAAACAAUGCAUACUGGGGUGUCCGGGGAUUUCCCCGGGUACCGUAGCCAACGCGUUAUGUAUGCCCGCCUGGGGAGUACGUACGCAAGUAUAAACUCAAAUAAUUGACGG
This 405-nucleotide ribosomal RNA is filed under the name uncultured rumen bacterium. RNAcentral's name for it is "bacterial SSU rRNA". It matches the Rfam family "Bacterial small subunit ribosomal RNA", at positions 509 to 916 of the family's 1533-position model. The record is from RNAcentral.